UCAGCUGUGGGUUAAGUUUAUGCUGCUAAUUUGUGGUGUUAGUGAUUCCUUUGGGCGGUUGAA
RNAcentral lists this transfer RNA (63 nucleotides) under Cardiocephaloides medioconiger. RNAcentral describes it as "tRNA-His". The record is from RNAcentral. Lineage: Eukaryota; Metazoa; Platyhelminthes; Trematoda; Diplostomida; Strigeidae.